This 292-nucleotide ribosomal RNA is filed under the name uncultured Glomeromycotina. RNAcentral describes it as "partial 28S rRNA". The record is from RNAcentral. Lineage: Eukaryota; Fungi; Glomeromycota.
CAGUCAUGCUAAUAGGGAAUCAACCUGAUGGUUCGUGAGUUUUGUCUCGCGGUCUUUCUUGUGCACUUCCUUAUUUGGCAAGUUAGCAUCAAUUUUGGUUAUCAUCCAAAAAUUAGGGGAAUGUGACUUCUCUCGGGAAGUGUUAUAGACCUUGAUAAUAUGUGGUGACCGGGAUUGAGGAUUGCAGUGAAUGCUUUUUGGCUAGUCACCUGGCUUCUGGCUGCUACCCCGCUUUCGAGAGCUUGCUAACGAUCGUGGGACUCAACAGUCUAGAUGUUAGAGUGAUCUUAAA